UGGGGAAUAUUGCACAAUGGGCGCAAGCCUGAUGCAGCGACGCCGCGUGCGGGAUGGAGGCCUUCGGGUUGUAAACCGCUUUUGUUCAAGGGCAAGGCACGGCUUCGGGCCGUGUUGAGUGGAUUGUUCGAAUAAUCACCGGCUAACUACGUGCC
This 155-nucleotide ribosomal RNA is filed under the name uncultured bacterium. RNAcentral's name for it is "partial 16S ribosomal RNA". It matches the Rfam family "Bacterial small subunit ribosomal RNA", at positions 355 to 509 of the family's 1533-position model. The record is from RNAcentral.